AUGAUGUCCGCCCCCCCCCCCGUCCCUGCCUGCCCUUGCAGCCUUGGGACGCCUCCGGGAGGGAGAGUAGCAAACCAUUUUCAGCAUCCGCCCAAGGAUGAUGAAGCGUUUCCAGACCUUCAGCAGCUCCAGGUCCUUCAUUUGCUAGACAACAGCACGGGGGAGGGGGCUCCAACGCCCUCCANCUGCCAAACGGAAGGAGCCCCUCCUCCUCCUCCGCCUCCUCACGGGGAAAAGCUCUCCCUUUGGUUUUUAGGAACCGCCCGCCGCCCCCUCCGCGCCCCCCCAUUCAGCCCGCCAAGCCCAGGCGAAGCAGCCAGCGUCCAAGCGCCGGACCUGGAGGAGAAUCAACCACGCGGAUCCCAACGGCGCCCCCCGACCCCCUCCUUCCCUCUCCCUGCAGGAUGCUCCUGUCAGCUCGGGUCAGCGCGUCCUCCUUUGCCGGUCCGGGGGAGGGCAUGCGGACUCCCCCCCCUCCGUGCCGCCGAAAAACCACAUUCCCCGCUGGGGACCGGGGGGGGGGCAGGCUGGCCAGCGGCUGGAGAAAUCGGGCGGCCAGCCUGCCAAGGCGUCCCUUUGUCGCCCCCCCCAAGAAAUGUCUCACUACUCCCCCAACUUUGCCGGGCUGGGUGGAGCCAGGAGGCCACGCAGAGCCCCCCUUCCCGCAAACGGGGACUUUUCGCUCUGCGGGACUGCCAGACUGACCCUGGCGAGGGAGGGAGGGAAGGCAGGCCGGGGGGGGGGCUCCUCAGUUCCAGCCAGAGCGCGGGAGAAGCCAUUCGCGCCCCCUCCCUGCCCGCGAGACCCGGCGCCACCGACGGACCUACCUGUGCGCCUGCUGCNGCCCACCUGGCUGGCUGGCUAACAGGCGGCACCCUCGGCUGCUGCUCAUCUGAUUGGCGUCACGUGGCGGGCGCGCAGGGAUCGCCGGGAAACGGAGUCCUCGGGCCAGAGGGCUCUGCUCGCUCCGCCGACGUGGACGGAACCAUUCUUCAAGCGCGGGGAAGUGGCGAAGAGAAAAGGGUUUCAUACGUUGCUGCUCUUGCUCACCCCCCAUCAGGACCGCGCGGAUAG
RNAcentral lists this long non-coding RNA (1074 nucleotides) under Salvator merianae (Argentine black and white tegu). RNAcentral's name for it is "lncRNA (ENSSMRG00000002280.1)". The record is from RNAcentral. Lineage: Eukaryota; Metazoa; Chordata; Lepidosauria; Squamata; Teiidae.